CUUGAACUAAAUAAGAGGUAUAGCCUGCCCAGUGACGCCAGUUCAACGGCCGCGGUAUCCUAACCGUGCGAAGGUAGCGUAAUCACUUGUUCUUUAAAUGAGGACUAGUAUGAAUGGCAUUACGAGGGUUAUACUGUCUCCUCUCUCCAAUCAGUGAAACUAAUCUCCCCGUGAAGAAGCGAGGAUAAACACAUAAGACGAGAAGACCCUAUGGAGCUUUAAACAAACCAGCAUUUGCUACUCAACCACACUUUUCAGAAACCCUAAACACAUCCUAGCUCUCUGACUGCAAGUUUUCGAUUGGGGUGAUCAUGGAACAAAAAAUAACCUCCAUGUCGAAAGGACCCUCUCCUGAACAAAAAGCGACAGCUUUCUGCACUAAAAAAUUAACGUUUAUUGACCCAACACUUUGAUCAACGAAC
RNAcentral lists this ribosomal RNA (422 nucleotides) under Boana cinerascens group sp. ABGD cluster 19. RNAcentral's name for it is "partial large subunit ribosomal RNA". It matches the Rfam family "Bacterial large subunit ribosomal RNA", at positions 1835 to 2389 of the family's 2925-position model. The record is from RNAcentral. Lineage: Eukaryota; Metazoa; Chordata; Amphibia; Anura; Hylidae.